GGGAUGUAGGAAUACAUCUAGUGGCGAACGGGUGAGUAACGCGUGGAUGAUCUACCUACGAGAUGGGGAUAACUAUUAGAAAUAGUAGCUAAUACCGAAUAAAGUCAAUUAAUUUGUUAAUUGAUGAAAGGAAGCCUUUAAAGCUUCGCUUGUAGAUGAGUCUGCGUCUUAUUAGUUAGUUGGUAGGGUAAAUGCCUACCAAGACGAUGAUAAGUAACCGGCCUGAGAGGGUGAACGGUCACACUGGAACUGAGAUACGGUCCAGACUCCUACGGGAGGCAGCAGCUAAGAAUCUUCCGCAAUGGGCGAAAGCCUGACGGAGCGACACUGCGUGAAUGAAGAAGGUCGAAAGAUUGUAAAAUUCUUUUAUAAAUGAGGAAUAAGCUUUGUAGGAAAUGACGAAGUGAUGACGUUAAUUUAUGAAUAAGCCCCGGCUAA
Molecule: ribosomal RNA, 438 nt
Filed under: Borreliella garinii
Lineage: Bacteria; Pseudomonadati; Spirochaetota; Spirochaetia; Spirochaetales; Borreliaceae
Description: bacterial SSU rRNA
Rfam family: Bacterial small subunit ribosomal RNA
Source: RNAcentral